GCUGAGCAUGGUGGUAUGCACCAGUCUCCCAAGCUACUUGGGAGGCUGAAGUGGGAGGAUUGAUUGAGCCCAGGAGAUCUGAUGUGUGCUGUACUGAUCAGGUGUACUCACUAGGUUUAGCAUCAGUAUGGUGACCUCCUUUGAGCAGGGGGCCACCAGGUUGCCUAAGGAGGGGUAAACCAGCCCAGGUUGGAAACAGAACAGGUCAAAACUCCUGUGCUGGGCGGCACCCAUAGCUCAGUGGGUAGGGUGCCGGCCACAUACACUGAGGCUGGUGGGUUUGAACCCAGCCU
This is a non-coding RNA of Otolemur garnettii (small-eared galago), 293 nucleotides long. The record is from Rfam. Lineage: Eukaryota; Metazoa; Chordata; Mammalia; Primates; Galagidae.